ACAGGUCACCUGGCAGCACCAGGGCUGUCAGGGGGCCUGACUGCCACUCACGCUCCCUAGCUCCUCCUGCUCAUCAGGGAGAAGCUCAGGUGGAGCCAGCUGCAGGUCUGCUCUAGGAUUAGCAGUUCCAUGGCUUUCCCGGAGGGAAGGGACAGCUCAGAGACCCAUCCAGCCGAGCACACAAGCCACCCUGCUGAGAAAAUCCUUCUGAGUUUGACAUGGUCGUAUUGACUGAGGCACAGCCUGAGCUACAACAUUUCAAGGACCUUCAUGCCAUGGAGCACCCAACAGACUUUAAAUCCAGCCAAAAAAGUUGCAGGAGUAGAAGUCUUCUCAGCCUACCAUGGCACACACAGGGCGUGAACAGCAGGAGGAAGAAAGGACUCCUCUGAACUGCGAGCUGGCUGGAAACCCCCGGAGGGCAAGAAUCCGAUCCCUCCUUUGAGGAGCACGGGCCUGUCUGUACAGGCUGCGGGAGCAGGAGAGCUCUGUGUGUGCAGCUCCACCAACACUCACCACCCCUGCCUUGCCUUGCCUUGCUCAGGACCAGCCUCCAGCUCAUGCACGGGAAAUGGCUCCGCUCCUCCCAUUAGCACCCCUGGACAGACCUUGUCCUCCUCACCCCACUAAUCCCCUCCUCCAGAGCCAAACCUCUUCCCCAUCAACCACCUGCCCCAUGUGCUCUUCAGUAGCCCCAUCAUCCACCCAAACCCAAAUCCUUCUCUCCUACUGCUCAGAACCACCCUGCACAUCCUUCAGAGCUGCUCUGGAGGAAGAAAUCCUUCACGCAACAAAUCUUGGCAGGAACAACCAUCCACCUAUUAUUUUACAUUUACCAAUACCCCACCAAAUCCUCUGCCCUGGAUGCAGCCAUUCUGCAGAUGCCAUAGUAACACUUUUAAAAAGACAUCCUUAGAAUGGACACAACAUGUCCCUUAGGAGCAAGGAAUCUGCUUAUCAACACUGAGUUUGAGAAGCCAUGUCCACAGAUUUUCCAGCCCUAGGAAGAAGAAACAUCCUUCCCUAAGCAGCCAGUCCUGCUCUGGAUCAGUCCCAUCUGCUUCCCAAGAGGACCAAAGUCCUUCAAAGUUCUUUAGAUCUAGUAAAAUAACAAAUACAUUAAAAAAAAAAAAAAACACCAACAAAAAAACAACCGCACCCAAACAAAAAACGAGCAACAAUGGAGAACGGUUUGAAAUCCCCCUGACAGUCUCUGCAUUCCAGUUCAGGUAAUACCACAGGCCCACCAGCAUCUCCAGACUCAGCUGUGCCAUCCUGAGCAGUCCAACUGGGACAGAUCCAUUCCAGCACCAUUUGUGUCCCACAUCCAGGAAAACCCAUGGGUGUGCUGGUUACCCCUCUGUUUCCUUUCUCCCUCUGCUCCCCCACACAGCUUUCACAGCCUCUCAUGCAGUGCCUCCACUACUGAUAUUUAUAUAAAAUAUACAAAGGGCUGCUCCCAGUGCUUAGUGCCAGCAACUGAGCAGGGAGAAGGCAAAGUCAGUGGACCUGGGGAAGGAAGCAAGAAGGUGAGACUCCCUAUUCCUGCACCUCAGCAUUGCCAACGCCUGUGUGCUGCAGUUCCCUUUAUCCCACAGAAUCCUGGAGCAGACCAGGCUGGAAGGGAGC
Passer domesticus (house sparrow) is the source of this 1629-nucleotide long non-coding RNA. RefSeq lists it as uncharacterized. The transcript is spliced from 3 exons. Lineage: Eukaryota; Metazoa; Chordata; Aves; Passeriformes; Passeridae. The record is from RefSeq and is a predicted model, not a curated record.